AACCAUCUCAGGUAGAUCCAAGUACUUUAGAUGCUGUUUAUCUUGGUGAAAUAAAUUCAUAGGAGAAAUUCUGACUGCUAUCCAACUACCUGCGUUUGCCACAAUUCACCAGAGGUAUCUAUAUGGCAAUUGCUCAUGGACCUUACAUUCUUCAGAAUCUGUUCAUUUCAUGUAAAAAUAAGUUCUUGGGAGAAAUUUGAAAUAUUAUUUGCUGUUACUUGCAUGAUUUGGAGCAAUAUUCUUCCCAUAAUAUUGGCAAAAACAACAGCACCUUAGUAAUAGCAAAAACAACAGCAACAUAUUCUUUUACAAUAGUGAUAUAUUAUCAACAGGUUUA
Molecule: unclassified non-coding RNA, 337 nt
Filed under: Hevea brasiliensis (rubber tree)
Lineage: Eukaryota; Viridiplantae; Streptophyta; Magnoliopsida; Malpighiales; Euphorbiaceae
Source: RNAcentral